CCCUUAGAUGUCCUGGGCCGCACGCGCGCUACACUGAUGCAUGCAACGAGUUUAUAACCUUGGCCUGAAAGGUCUGGGUAAUCUUUUGAACGUGCAUCGUGAUAGGGAUAGAUUAUUGCAAUUGUUAAUCUUGAACGAGGAAUUCCUAGUAAACGCGAGUCAUCAGCUCGCAUUGAUUACGUCCCUGCCCUUUGUACACACCGCCCGUCGCUCCUACCGAUUGAGUGAUCCGGUGAGGCUCUGGGACCUGGACGGAAAGAGCGUUUCGCUUGUUCUGUUUGGGAAACUUGGUCGAACCUUAUCAUUUAGAGGAAGGAGAAGUCGUAACA
Molecule: ribosomal RNA, 329 nt
Filed under: uncultured eukaryote
Lineage: Eukaryota
Description: partial 18S ribosomal RNA
Rfam family: Eukaryotic small subunit ribosomal RNA
Source: RNAcentral